This 66-nucleotide transfer RNA is filed under the name Myonycteris angolensis (Angolan soft-furred fruit bat). RNAcentral's name for it is "tRNA-Pro". It matches the Rfam family "tRNA". From Rfam's summary of the family: Transfer RNA (tRNA) molecules are approximately 80 nucleotides in length. The record is from RNAcentral. RNAcentral also lists the same sequence under 1 other name. Lineage: Eukaryota; Metazoa; Chordata; Mammalia; Chiroptera; Pteropodidae.
CAAGGAAUAGUUUAAGUAGAAUAUCAGCUUUGGGUGUUGAUGGUGGGGCUUCAGCCUUUUCCUUGA